RNAcentral lists this ribosomal RNA (254 nucleotides) under uncultured bacterium. RNAcentral's name for it is "partial 16S ribosomal RNA". It matches the Rfam family "Bacterial small subunit ribosomal RNA", at positions 524 to 776 of the family's 1533-position model. The record is from RNAcentral.
UACGUAGGGGGCAAGCGUUGUCCGGAUUCAUUGGGCGUAAAGCGCGUGUAGGCGGCCAGGUAGGUCUGGUGUGAAAACUCGAGGCUCAACCUCGAGAGGUCAUCGGAAACCAUCUGGCUAGAGUCCGGAAGAGGAGAGUGGAAUUCCCGGUGUAGUGGUGAAAUGCGUAGAUAUCGGGAGGAACACCAGUGGCGAAGGCGACUACCUGGCCUGUUUCUUGACGCUGAGGCGCGAAAGCUAGGGGAGCAAACGGG